This 405-nucleotide ribosomal RNA is filed under the name uncultured bacterium. Its description in RNAcentral is "partial 16S ribosomal RNA". It matches the Rfam family "Bacterial small subunit ribosomal RNA", at positions 30 to 526 of the family's 1533-position model. The record is from RNAcentral.
AUUGAACGCUAGCGGGAUGCUUUACACAUGCAAGUCGAACGAGUGGCGGACGGGUGAGUAAUAUAUCGGAACGUGCCCAGUAGCGGGGGAUAACUACUCGAAAGAGUGGCUAAUACCGCAUACUAUUGGAGCGGCAGAUAUCGGAUUAGCUAGUUGGUGGGGUAACGGCGCACCAAGGCAACGAUCCGUAGCUGGUUUGAGAGGAAGACCAGCCACACUGGAACUUAGACACGGUCCAGACUCCUACGGGAGGCAGCAGUGGGGAAUAUUGGACAAUGGGGGAAACCCUGAUCCAGCCAUCCCGCGUGUAUGAGAAGGCCGUCGGGUUGUAAAGUACUUUUGGCAGCGAAGCGGUAUCUGCAGAAUAAGCACCGGCUAACUACGUGCCAGCAGCCGCGGUAAUAC